AGCAGUAGCCGCGGUAAUACAGAGGGUGCGAGCGUUAAUCGGAUUUACUGGGCGUAAAGCGUGCGUAGGCGGCUUCUUAAGUCGGAUGUGAAAUCCCUGAGCUUAACUUAGGAAUUGCAUUCGAUACUGGGAAGCUAGAGUAUGGGAGAGGAUGGUAGAAUUCCAGGUGUAGCGGUGAAAUGCGUAGAGAUCUGGAGGAAUACCGAUGGCGAAGGCAGCCAUAUGGCCUAAUACUGACGCUGAGGUACGAAAGCAUGGGGAGCAAACAGGAUUAGAUACCCCAGUAGUCCCUGUCUCUUAUAC
This 303-nucleotide ribosomal RNA is filed under the name uncultured bacterium. Its description in RNAcentral is "partial 16S ribosomal RNA". It matches the Rfam family "Bacterial small subunit ribosomal RNA", at positions 507 to 807 of the family's 1533-position model. The record is from RNAcentral.